CGGUGGAGCAUGUGGUUUAAUUCGAAGCAACGCGAAGAACCUUACCAGGUCUUGACAUCCCCUGACAACCCGAGAGAUCGGGCGUUCCCCUUCGGGGGACAGGGUGACAGGUGGUGCAUGGUUGUCGUCAGCUCGUGUCGUGAGAUGUUGGGUUAAGUCCCGCAACGAGCGCAACCCUCGACCUUAGUUGCCAGCAUUCAGUUGGGCACUCUAAGGUGACUGCCGGCUAAAAGUCGGAGGAAGUGGGGAUGACGUCAAAUCAUCAUGCCCCUUAUGACCUGGGCUACACACGUGCUACAAUGGGCGGUACAAAGGGUCGCGAACCCGCGAGGGGGAGCCAAUCCCAAAAAGCCGCUCUCAGUUCGGAUUGCAGGCUGCAACUCGCCUGCAUGAAGCCGGAAUCGCUAGUAAUCGCGGAUCAGCAUGCCGCGGUGAAUACGUUCCCGGGCCUU
This 452-nucleotide ribosomal RNA is filed under the name uncultured Anoxybacillus sp. RNAcentral describes it as "bacterial SSU rRNA". It matches the Rfam family "Bacterial small subunit ribosomal RNA", at positions 930 to 1382 of the family's 1533-position model. The record is from RNAcentral. Lineage: Bacteria; Bacillati; Bacillota; Bacilli; Caryophanales; Anoxybacillaceae.